GAACAACCUGACUUACUGCAUAAGCUGGUGACACAGCUUUCUCCUUCUGUACUAAAAUCUGAAGGCGUACCAGUCUAUCGGUGUGUACAAAAUUCUGGAGAGUUUGUUUUAACAUUUCCUCGAGCAUAUCAUUCANAAUUGUGGCUUCAAUUGUGCGGAGGCAGUAAAUGUAGCCCCUGUUGACUGGUUGCCCCAUGGACAGAUUGCUAUAGAGCUUUAUCGUGAGCAGGCGCGAAAGACUUCCAUCUCCCAUGAUAAACUGUUGCUUGGAGCAGCAAGGGAAGCAGUGAAAGCUCAUUGGGAACUUAAUUUACUGAAAAAGAAUACAACAGAUAACUUAAGAUGGAAAGAUGUAUGUGGAAAGGAUGGAAUAUUAGCAAAAGCACUCAA
RNAcentral lists this unclassified non-coding RNA (390 nucleotides) under Hevea brasiliensis (rubber tree). Lineage: Eukaryota; Viridiplantae; Streptophyta; Magnoliopsida; Malpighiales; Euphorbiaceae. The record is from RNAcentral.